This 254-nucleotide ribosomal RNA is filed under the name uncultured bacterium. RNAcentral describes it as "partial 16S ribosomal RNA". It matches the Rfam family "Bacterial small subunit ribosomal RNA", at positions 524 to 777 of the family's 1533-position model. The record is from RNAcentral.
UACGAGGGGGGCUAGCGUUGCUCGGAAUUACUGGGCGUAAAGCGCACGUAGGCGGCUCUUUAAGUCGGGGGUGAAAUCCUGGAGCUCAACUCCAGAACUGCCUUUGAUACUGAGGAUCUUGAGUUCGGGAGAGGUGAGUGGAACUGCGAGUGUAGAGGUGAAAUUCGUAGAUAUUCGCAAGAACACCAGUGGCGAAGGCGGCUCACUGGCCCGAUACUGACGCUGAGGCACGAAAGCGUGGGGAGCAAACAGGG